GUGGGGAAUAUUGGACAAUGGGCGAAAGCCUGAUCCAGCCAUGCCGCGUGUGUGAAGAAGGUCUUCGGAUUGUAAAGCACUUUAAGUUGGGAGGAAGGGCAGUAAGUUAAUACCUUGCUGUUUUGACGUUACCGACAGAAUAAGCACCGGCUAACUUCGUGCCAGCAGCCGCGGUAAUACGAAGGGUGCAAGCGUUAAUCGGAAUUACUGGGCGUAAAGCGCGCGUAGGUGGUUUUGUAAGUUGGAGGUGAAAUCCCCGGGCUCAACCUGGGAACUGCCUCCAAAACUGCAUGACUAGAGUACGGUAGAGGGUAGUGGAAUUUCCUGUGUAGCGGUGAAAUGCGUAGAUAUAGGAAGGAACACCAGUGGCGAAGGCGACUACCUGGACUGAUACUGACACUGAGGUGCGAAAGCGUGGGGAGCAAACAGGACUAGAUACCCUGGUAGUCC
RNAcentral lists this ribosomal RNA (450 nucleotides) under uncultured bacterium. RNAcentral describes it as "partial 16S ribosomal RNA". It matches the Rfam family "Bacterial small subunit ribosomal RNA", at positions 354 to 796 of the family's 1533-position model. The record is from RNAcentral.